UACAGAGACUGCAAGCGUUAUUCGGAUUCACUGGGCGUAAAGGGUGCGCAGGCGGCCGUGUGUGUGAGGCGUGAAAGCCCGGAGCUCAACUCCGGAAUUGCACCUCAAACUACACGGCUAGAGCAUUGGAGAGGGAAGCGGAAUUCACGGUGUAGCAGUGAAAUGCGUAGAUAUCGUGAGGAACACCAGAGGCGAAGGCGGCUUCCUGGACAAUUGCUGACGCUCAGGCACGAAAGCGUGGGGAGCAAAAGGG
RNAcentral lists this ribosomal RNA (253 nucleotides) under uncultured bacterium. Its description in RNAcentral is "partial 16S ribosomal RNA". It matches the Rfam family "Bacterial small subunit ribosomal RNA", at positions 524 to 776 of the family's 1533-position model. The record is from RNAcentral.